This 661-nucleotide ribosomal RNA is filed under the name uncultured fungus. Its description in RNAcentral is "eukaryotic LSU rRNA". It matches the Rfam family "Eukaryotic large subunit ribosomal RNA", at positions 24 to 664 of the family's 3401-position model. Lineage: Eukaryota; Fungi. The record is from RNAcentral.
CCCGCUGAACUUAAGCAUAUCAAUAAGCGGAGGAAAAGAAACUAACAAGGAUUCCCCUAGUAACUGCGAGUGAGGCGGGAAGAGCUCAAAUUUAAAAUCUGGCGGUCUCGCGGCCGUCCGAGUUGUAAUCUGGAGAAGCGUUUUCCGCGUCGGACCGUGUACAAGUCUUCUGGAACGGAGCGUCGUAGAGGGUGAGAAUCCCGUCUCUGACACGGACAGCCGAUGCUUCAUGUGAUACGCUCUCGAAGAGUCGAGUUGUUUGGGAAUGCAGCUCAAAAUGGGUGGUAAAUUCCAUCUAAAGCUAAAUAUUGGCGAGAGACCGAUAGCGAACAAGUACCGUGAGGGAAAGAUGAAAAGAACUUUGGAAAGAGAGUUAAACAGUACGUGAAAUUGCUGAAAGGGAAACGCUUGAAGUCAGUCGCGUUGUCCGGGGAUCAACCUUGCUUUUGCUGGGCGUACUUCCCGGUUGACGGGUCAGCAUCAAUUUUGACCGUUGGAUAAAGUCUAGGGGAAUGUGGCAUCUUCGGAUGUGUUAUAGCCCUUGGUCGCAUACAACGGUUGGGAUUGAGGAACUCAGCACGCCGCAAGGCCGGGUAUUCGUACCACGUUCGUGCUUAGGAUGCUGGCAUAAUGGCUUUAAUCGACCCGUCUUGAAACACGG